AAGUUUUUCAUUUCGACUUGGUGAUCUAAAAUGGCGGCAGUCCAGUCCUGCUUAUAUAUCGUCCUCGCCAUAUAACACCUUCUCCACUGCCUUCUCCACCUCCUGCUCCACCUCAACAUUCUCCACAGCCUUCCCCUUGACCUGCACGGCCUACUAAACGCUCGUCGUUGCCCACCACGCGUUAAUAUUAAGCCAUUAGACGGAAGAUAUUGUGGGCCAUGGUGCCAAGUUGUGAUUUUCAAGGGUGGUUUAAGCGCCAAGUGUCUACGAGAGUGCCACAAAGGGUAUGGCCGUAGUAUUCAAGGGCCAUGGACCACCGAAGGGCCAUUAGAGGGAAGAUACUGUGUGCCAUGGUGCCAAGUGUACGAGGGUGCCACAGAGAGUUAGGUAGACGCCCCUGCCAUGGCCUUACUCAACUAGGGCCAUGGACCACCGGAGGGCCAUUGGAGGGGAGAAAUAAUGGUCCAUAGUGCUACAUUUUGUGAUUUUCAAGAAGUAGCUGUGAAUGGCCUCAAUGAAGAAUGCGAGAAGUCUGAACAUGAGAUACAGGAGGAGGAGGAGGAGGAGGGCCUGAUACGACAAGAAUGUGGCUUCACCUACAGGGGAUGCAUUUGAGAUUAAGGAGUAGCUGUGAAUGGCCUCAAUGAAGAACAUGAGACACAAGCAAAGAUAGGAGGAGGAGGAAUACAUACAUAGGAAGAAUACAUAGGAAGAACAGACACCAGAAGACCUAUCGGUCUAUGGCGAGGGUGUCUGUUUAAGGAGGAGGAGAGAAGGAGGAGGGCCUGAUACAACAUGAAAGCCUUCCCAAAUGUGUGUGUGUAUUUACCUAGUUGUAUUUACCUAGUUGUAGUUUUACAGGGCCUGGGCAUUAUGCUCGUGUGGUCCCGUCUCCGUGUCUGCAUUUAUCCAACUUAUCUUUAAAGCUUUGCACACUCCUCGCUGAUACUAUAUCCUCGCUCAGACUGUUCCAAACCUCUACAUUUCUUUGCGGGAAGCUAUACUUCUUUGUGUCUCUCAAGCAUCUCCCCUUUCUCAAUUUUUUACUGUGUCCUCUUGUAUUUCUGCUUAUGUUUCCUUCUGUUAGUAGCAGUUCUUCAUUAUCUACUUCAUCUAUUUUGUUUAAUAAUUUAUAAAUUUGGAUUAGGUCUCCCCUUUCUCUUCUUUGUUCCAGUGUUGUUAAGUUCAUUUCCUUUAAUCUUUCCUCGUAUAUUAAUCCCUCCAACUCUGGGACCAUUUUUGAUGCCAUCCUCUGUAUUCUUUCUAGUUUCUUUAUAUGCUUCUUCUUAUGGGGGGACCACACUACCUCUGCAUAUUCUAAUUUUGGUCUAAUCAUGGUAGUGAUUAGCCUUCUCAUCAUGUCCUUGUCCAUGUAGUUAAAUGCUACUCCAAUAUUUUUCACCAAGUUAUAUGUGUCUCUAAAGAUCCGAUUUAUAUGACUCUCUGGUUGAUUACACUGGGUAACAAAAAAAUAUUUUUUGAAAAUCGUCCAGGGUUUUCCAGCUGAAUUAGACUAAUUUUGAUGCUCUGAGUCCGAAAAUGACCUUGGUUUUGCUCAAUCAGGUCAAGAUUUUUUGCUACAGAAUUUUUUUUAUAAUCGAUUUUUCGUAAAAAAACAAAUUUCUGUGGAUCAUCAGCUGAGAAACCCUGACGAUUUUUUCCGUUUUCCUCAAGAAAUAAAAGUCAACGUAUCCAAAUUCAUUCAGUUUUUAUUUACUCCAUCAAAUUUGAUAAGCAUAUAAUACUUCUAAAUAAACGUUACGUGACACAAAAUUUCAGAGUUCACGGCAUAAAUCGGCGUUUCUUCGAUUCCCGUGCGUGAGCAGCUGCUGGGUUGUCUCUCUUCAGCGACCAGCAGUAGUCCGCCAGCAUGACUGCAUCCCACCUCCCCUGGUACCUCUCCUCCAUUUGGCGCAUGUCCUGAUGGAACCUUUCUCCCUGCUCGUCGCUCAUCGCCCCAAGGUUUUCAGGAAACUUCUCCAUGUGUGAGAAUAGGAAGUGCAUCUUUAUACUCAUCAAACACCCGAGUUUUUGAAAAGCCUCUAUCAUGCUGCUGAUGAGUCUGGCGUGGUUUGCUGCCUUCGUGUUCCCCAGGAAGUUGUUCACCACCUCCACAAACGAUUUCCAGGCGGCGCACUCUAGCGUGUUCAUGGAGUUUUGGAACUCUGUGUCGUUGAUGAGCUGCCGUAUCUGUGGGCCAUCGAAAAUGCCGGCCUUCAGCUUCUCAAUGGUCAGUCGAGGAAAGGCUCGGCACAGGUAGUUGAAGCACCUCCCAUCCUUGUCCAAAGCGCGCGUGAACUGUUUCAUUAACCCAAGCUUCAUGUGCAGCGGUGGGAUCAAUAUCUUCU
Long non-coding RNA from Eriocheir sinensis (Chinese mitten crab), 2348 nucleotides. RefSeq lists it as uncharacterized. The transcript has 3 exons. The record is from RefSeq and is a predicted model, not a curated record. Lineage: Eukaryota; Metazoa; Arthropoda; Malacostraca; Decapoda; Varunidae.